Molecule: ribosomal RNA, 274 nt
Filed under: uncultured bacterium
Lineage: Bacteria
Description: partial 16S ribosomal RNA
Rfam family: Bacterial small subunit ribosomal RNA
Source: RNAcentral
CUACGGAGGGUGCGAGCGUUAAUCGGAAUUACUGGGCGUAAAGCGUACGUAGGCGGUUUGCUAAGUCAGAUGUGAAAGCCCCGGGCUUAACCUGGGAACUGCAUUUGAUACUGGCAGACUAGAGUAUGAUAGAGGGGGGUAGAAUUCCUGGUGUGGCGGUGAAAUGCGUAGAUAUCAGGAGGAAUACCAGUGGCGAAGGCGGCCCCCUGGAUCAAUACUGACGCUGAGGUACGAAAGCGUGGGGAGCGAACAGGAUUAGAUACCCUAGUAGUCC